UUGACGGGGAGCACCACGAACGGGUGGAGCUUGUCGGUUUAAUUGGAUUCAACGCCGGAAUCUUACCGGGACCGACAGCAAUAUGAAGGCCAGGCUGAAGACUUUGCCGGAUUAGCUGAGAGGUGGUGCAUGGCCGUCGUCAGUUCGUACUGUGAAGCAUCCUGUUAAGUCAGGCAACGAGCGAGACCCACGCCCACAGUUGCCAGCGUACUCUCUGGAGUGACGGGUACACUGUGGGGACCGCCGCUGCUAAAGCGGAGGAAGGAAUGGGCAACGGUAGGUCAGUAUGCCCCGAAUAUCCCGGGCUACACGCGAGCUACAAUGGUUGGUACAAUGGGUAUCUACCCCGAAAGGGGACGGGAAUCUCCUAAAACCAAUCUUAGUUCGGAUUGAGGGCUGCAACUCGCCCUCAUGAAGCUGGAAUCCGUAGUAAUCGCGUUUCAACAGAACGCGGUGAAUACGUCCCUGCUCCUU
This 474-nucleotide ribosomal RNA is filed under the name uncultured Methanosaeta sp. RNAcentral describes it as "bacterial SSU rRNA". It matches the Rfam family "Archaeal small subunit ribosomal RNA", at positions 871 to 1337 of the family's 1478-position model. Lineage: Archaea; Methanobacteriati; Methanobacteriota; Methanomicrobia; Methanotrichales; Methanotrichaceae. The record is from RNAcentral.